CUCAGUGUAGAGCAGAGGACUGAAAAUCCUGGUGACACUUCUCACAUUAAA
This 51-nucleotide transfer RNA is filed under the name Fagopyrum dibotrys. RNAcentral's name for it is "partial tRNA-Phe". Lineage: Eukaryota; Viridiplantae; Streptophyta; Magnoliopsida; Caryophyllales; Polygonaceae. The record is from RNAcentral.